RNAcentral lists this ribosomal RNA (1342 nucleotides) under Azomonas macrocytogenes. RNAcentral describes it as "partial 16S ribosomal RNA". It matches the Rfam family "Bacterial small subunit ribosomal RNA", at positions 63 to 1399 of the family's 1533-position model. Lineage: Bacteria; Pseudomonadati; Pseudomonadota; Gammaproteobacteria; Pseudomonadales; Pseudomonadaceae. The record is from RNAcentral.
CGAACGGUACCAGAGGUGCUUGCACUUCUUGAGUGCGGCCGACGGGUGAGUAAUGACUAGGAAUCUGCCUGUUAGUGGGGCUUCACGUACGGAAACGGACGCUCAUACCGCAUAAGUCCUACGGGAGAAAGUGGGGGAUCUCUUGGUCCCUCACGCUGCCAUAUGAUGCCUACGUCGGAUUAGAUAGUGUGUGAGGUAAGGACUCACCCUAGGCGACGGACUCCUGUAGCUGUUCUGAGAGGAAUGAUCACUCACACUGGAACUGAGACACGGUCCCAGACUCCCUCCGGGAGGCAGCAGUGGGAAUAUUGCACCAAUGGCGCAAGCCUGAUCCAGCCAUGCCGCGUGUAUGAAGAAGUCCUCGGAUGUAAAGCACUUCAGUGGGGAGGAAGGCGGUAAGUUAAUAACCCUGCUGUAUGACGUACCGGCAGAAGAAGCACCGGCUAACUCCGUGCCAGCAGCCGCGGUAAUACAGAGGGUGCAAGCGUUAAUCGGAAUUACUGGGCGUAAAGCGCGCGCAGGCGGUCAGCAAGUCGGAUGUGAAAUCCCCGGGCUCAACCUGGGAACUGCAUUCAAAACUGCAGGCUAGAGUCUGUAGAGGGGGGUAGAAUUUCAUGUGUAGCGGUGAAAUGCGUAGAUAUAGGAAGGAACACCAGUGGCGAAGGCGACCCCCUGGACAAAUACUGACACUCAGGUGCGAAAGCGUGGGGAGCAAACAGGAUUAGAUACCCUGGUAGUCCACGCCGUAAACGAUGUCGACUAGCAGGUUGAAUCCUUGAGACGUGACUUCCGCAGCUAACGCAUUAAGUCGACCGCCUGGGGAGUACGGCCGCAAGGUUAAAACUCAAAUGAAUUGACGGGGGCCCGCACAAGCGGUGGAGCAUGUGGUUUAAUUCGAAGCAACGCGAAGAACCUUACCUACUCUUGACAUCCUGAGAACCUUUCAGAGAUGAGAGGGUGCCUUCGGGAACUCAGAGACAGGUGCUGCAUGGCUGUCGUCAGCUCGUGUUGUGAAAUGUUGGGUUAAGUCCCGCAACGAGCGCAACCCUUGUCCUUAGUUGCCAGCACUUCGGCCGGGCACUCAAAGGAGACUGCCAGUGACAAACCGGAGGAAGGUGGGGAUGACGUCAAGUCAUCAUGGCCCUUACGGCCAGGGCUACACACGUGCUACAAUGGUCGGUACAGAGGGAAGCCACCUCGCGAGAGCAAGCUAACCUCAGAAAACCGAUCGUAGUCCGGAUCGCAGUCUGCAACUCGACUCCGUGAAGUCGGAAUCGCUAGUAAUCGUGGAUCAGAAUGCCACGGUGAAUACGUUCCCGGGCCUUGUACACACCGCCCGUCA